This 265-nucleotide ribosomal RNA is filed under the name uncultured bacterium. Its description in RNAcentral is "partial 16S ribosomal RNA". It matches the Rfam family "Bacterial small subunit ribosomal RNA", at positions 88 to 354 of the family's 1533-position model. The record is from RNAcentral.
CCGGCGACCGGCGGACGGGUGCGUAACACGUAUGUAACCUACCUUUGACAGGGGGAUAACAUCGAGAAAUUGGUACUAAUACCCCAUAACAUCACCGGAGGCAUCUUCGGUGGUUGAAAACUCAGGUGGUCAGAGAUGGACAUGCGUUGUAUUAGCUAGUUGGUGAGGUAACGGCUCACCAAGGCGACGAUACAUAGGGGGACUGAGAGGUCAACCCCCCACAUUGGUACUGAGACACGGACCAAACUCCUACGGAAGGCAGCAG